GUUGGUCCGAACUGUGCGGUUCACACUACAUGACUUGCUCUCUGUGAAAUCAGGAGUGUUCACGUUGUUGAUCAGUUCACACCACACGACAUAACGUGACUGCCCCACAACAGGAGGUAACGCACUACACGAGUUGAGAACAACUCUAUCACCCGGCGAUUCUAUCUUGUCCACAAACCACGUUUUGUCACGAAAAAUCACGCGAUAAAACAAACCGGAAAUGACGCGAAACAACACGCGCACCAGUAAACCCACAGAAGAAGAAUGAAGACGACGCGCAAAACUUUUGUUUGUAUAUAUAGACUUCAGACAGAAAUUCGUGCUGCAAACCGUUUGCGCGAUGCAAAGCCGCAAAAGAAAAAAAUGAAGAGAUGUGUAUGUGGAGAAGUGGAUCAACACCACACGAGGACAGCAGGGAUUUAAGAGUUGGAGACACCAUCAACGGAAGGAGAGUGGCAUAGCCGUGGACUUCGAAAGGAAGUGGCAGUUUCCACAUUGCUUUGGGGUACUUGCUACCACUCCAGCUGUAGCAGACUGCUGACCAAAACAUGGUUGAUGGGCAAUGGAAGAAUCGUGGGACGGGUGCUUUUCAACCGAUGAACACCACCUCACAUCGCAAUUGUAUGGCAACAGCAAAAGUGCAACGCAAUCUGAUGCGGGACUACUUUGUCUCACCAGCGUGUAGUGUUUAUUGGCAAGUUCAACACAUUUUAAAAGGAACUGAUGUAGAGUUAUCCCUGCAAACAGCAGAUUAAAGCCAGUUAUUGUCAGUUUAGGACAUUUGUUUUCUUGUGUGUUCUAAAGUCCUGUAUUUGUAAAGAACACAAUGUGGUUCACUUUUUCAUUGUUUUAAGUAUUCUGUUUAUUGUUGUGUUAUUAUUCAAUUAAUUUUAAUUGCAUACAAAUCAAAAGGUGCAGGAAUGUAACAAAUAAAGGCAAUCUGCAUGUUGCAA
Paramisgurnus dabryanus is the source of this 953-nucleotide long non-coding RNA. RefSeq lists it as uncharacterized. The record is from RefSeq and is a predicted model, not a curated record. Lineage: Eukaryota; Metazoa; Chordata; Actinopteri; Cypriniformes; Cobitidae.